RNAcentral lists this ribosomal RNA (468 nucleotides) under uncultured bacterium. RNAcentral's name for it is "bacterial SSU rRNA". It matches the Rfam family "Bacterial small subunit ribosomal RNA", at positions 62 to 524 of the family's 1533-position model. The record is from RNAcentral.
UCGAACGGCAGCACGGAGCCUUGCUCUGGUGGCGAGUGGCGAACGGGUGAGUAAUAUAUCGGAACGUACCCUAGAGUGGGGGAUAACGUAGCGAAAGUUACGCUAAUACCGCAUACGAUCUAAGGAUGAAAGUGGGGGAUCGCAAGACCUCAUGCUCGUGGAGCGGCCGAUAUCUGAUUAGCUAGUUGGUAGGGUAAAAGCCUACCAAGGCAUCGAUCAGUAGCUGGUCUGAGAGGACGACCAGCCACACUGGAACUGAGACACGGUCCAGACUCCUACGGGAGGCAGCAGUGGGGAAUUUUGGACAAUGGGCGAAAGCCUGAUCCAGCAAUGCCGCGUGAGUGAAGAAGGCCUUCGGGUUGUAAAGCUCUUUUGUCAGGGAAGAAACGGUGGGAGCUAAUAUCUCUUGCUAAUGACGGUACCUGAAGAAUAAGCACCGGCUAACUACGUGCCAGCAGCCGCGGUAAU